GGUUACAAAACAGCAAGACCUCAUCAAGGCCCAACUACAAGAAACAUCCUGGGUUUCUUCCACUGUCAACAUCUGGUCAGACAGAUAGAUGAGAAGUUUCCUUCGUGUGACUGCCCAUGCAAUUAAAAUCAAUAAGUCUGCCAUCAACCUGAGGCCGUACCUGUUAAGCUGUAGCAGAUUCACAGGUUCCCACACAGAUGAGAAUAUCAGCGAGGCGUUUGAAACCAUCUGUGGCGAAUAUGUAAUAAAGAACAAAGUUGACUACAUUAUAUGAUUAUAUGUGACAAUACAUCGAAUAUGAAGAAAGCGUUCCUAUAUGCUUCCUGUAUGGUUCCCUAGAACCACUGAUGAUGAUGCAGGACCUACUAGUGCUGAUGGCCUUGAUGAUGACAGUUUAUGGGAAGAGCUCUAGGAAGAAUACCACCAAGAUGUAGAUAUGACACUGACCAGGAACUGCCAGAAGUAGCGCCUGCAAUGUUUUACACACAUCCUGCAACUGAUGGUGUCAGAUGGGCUGAAGGAAACAAAAGCAAUCAACCUCGCCAUGAGUAAAGCUUAAAAAUUAUACACCUUACUGCAUUCCAGUUGCUUCUUUAAAGAAGCUUUUGAAAAUGUGUUUGGGACUAACAAAUGGAUUCCUGCCCUUAACUGCACCAGAUAGAACUCAACCCUAAGACACAUUAAAGCUAUACUAUGUCUCGACCAUCAGGCAUUGUGCAAUAUCCUGGAAGAACAAGCACAUAAAGAGGUAGUUUUCAGCAGCAGAGAAUGCAGUCAAUUGCAAGAACUAGUCACCAUCUUGGAACCCUUCUUUAAAGCAACCAACUUUAUGCAAGGAGAACAGGUUGUCACCAUAAGCCCUGUCCUGCUCUGUGUGUUGUUGUUAAGUCAUCAUCUGCAUGAUAUGUUAUCAGUGUUCGGUAUCUAAACAGCCUAAUCAGAGACCUCAAAGACUCACCGUGGAAAAGAUUCCAAGAAAUCUUUGUCACUACACAAAUGACGGAAUCCACACAGGAAAUUGCCAAUCUACCAUUUGGUGAUCCCAUUUGUCUCUUGUCAGCAGCACUUGGUCCAGCAUUCUGCAUAAUAUGGAUCGAACACGAUGUCUUGGCAUAAGAAGAGAUAUUCAUUAUGUAGAUUUGAUCAUGUCCCAGGCUAGCAGAGUACUGGUAGAAAACGACACAAUAGCGAGGAGAAAAACAUUCCACCCCAGCAGUUCCCUCGACUUUUUACCGUGUACAAAAGGAGCAGACACUGGGGUGGGGCUCCUAAGACAUCUGUAUCUUCCCAACUCAGCAGAUACUUCGAGAUGUCCCAAGAAUUUCCUGAAGGAAGUCCCAAUGCAAGUCUUCACUUCUUGUUGGUCAACAAGAAUAACCUCUCCAGGUUGUUUCCUGGGGGCUAUGAGAGUGCUAGCUGUCCCUGCUUCUAGUUCUCUCAUUGAACGAGUGUUCAGCCAUGGAGGCAUCAUAAUGCGCCCUCAUAGCGCGAAGCUUAAUGACAAAAUGCUGUUUCACCUGAUAUUUCUAAAGUGUAAUGGUUUGUACAGAUAAAUUAUAUACUCUGAGUGCCUUCUAGUCAUUGACGCCACACACUAUGAUGCAGAUAUUAAGCACAACCACACUGCUUGGAGACCUUAUAGUGAAGCUGGUCCAAAAUAAAAGAUAAUUCACACUUCCUUUACCAACCUGUCUGAUUCAAUUGAAUUUCCACUGCCAUGGAUUGUUGCAUGUGUGGCACAAAUAGUAUGCCAUGUCUUGGCAUGACAUCAGAUUCAAAUGAUAUCCAGCUUAUUGCAUUUAUGUAUAUUGGAAAAGGUCCCCUCCAAACAAACUAUUACUAAGCCUGUGUAGAAACAAACUGAGGGUAUAUUAUUUUGGCUUUUAUAACCAAUUAACAAAAAAGCACAGUGCAGUUUCUUCCUUAUAGAACAUUUUGCUAGUCCACAAACACAUUUUAUCAUUAUGACUUGACUUGAGACUUGCAGGAAAUGAUUGACUUGUCUUGAGACGUGACCUUAAUGACUUGCGACUUAAUUUAAAUUUGGACAAAAAACGACUUGUUACCAGCUGUGCUAAAUAUAGGUAUAAGUGUUACCUCGAAAAAAGUAAGAUACACAUUAGCAUGAAGUGGUCUCAAUGGACGUGUAGCUGUCAGAAAAUCGCUGCUGAAAAGAGGUAACCAUGCCUAAAACAUGAAAGUGAAUCAAACCACAGUGGAAGGAGCAAAGUUUUUGAUGUGUACUCUUUAAAGAUUAAUUCAAAUUUGAAUUGACUGUCCACAAUGAACAACAGUGUAUUCGAUGGCGAAGAGAAUAAUGGUAUCAUAAUUAAUGUAAAA
Long non-coding RNA from Limulus polyphemus (Atlantic horseshoe crab), 2340 nucleotides. RefSeq lists it as uncharacterized. The record is from RefSeq and is a predicted model, not a curated record. The transcript is spliced from 2 exons. Lineage: Eukaryota; Metazoa; Arthropoda; Merostomata; Xiphosura; Limulidae.